GUGAGGAAUAUUGCGCAAUGGAGACAACUCUGACGCAGCCAUGCCGCGUGCAGGAAGAAGGCGCUACGCGUUGUAAACUGCUUUUAACCGGGAAGAAACCCCAGGACGUGUCCUGGGUUGACGGUACCGGAGGAAUAAGCACCGGCUAACUUCGUGCCAGCAGCCGCGGUAAUACGAAGGGUGCAAGCGUUAUCCGGAUUCAUUGGGUUUAAAGGGUGCGUAGGCGGAGCGUUAAGUCAGUGGUGAAAUCCUGCAGCUUAACUGUAGACUUGCCAUUGAUACUGGCGCUCUUGAGUGCGCUUGAAGUGGGCGGAAUGUGCCGUGUAGCGGUGAAAUGCUUAGAUAUGGCACAGAACACCAAUUGCGAAGGCAGCUCACUAAGGCGAUACUGACGCUGAGGCACGAAAGCGUGGGGAUCGAACAGGAUUAGAAACCCGAGUAGUCC
RNAcentral lists this ribosomal RNA (445 nucleotides) under uncultured bacterium. RNAcentral describes it as "partial 16S ribosomal RNA". It matches the Rfam family "Bacterial small subunit ribosomal RNA", at positions 354 to 796 of the family's 1533-position model. The record is from RNAcentral.